GUGGAAUGCAUUUUUUACACAGUGAAUUUAUCCAUUGUGUUGAAUGUCUAUAUUAUACAUGUAAGUGUGCUUCCCCAGAGGAGAAGCCUUGUAAGGUGAGUAAGCUCUUGAAGAGCUUGUGAUGUUGAAUAUAUGGACGAUAUGAUAGUAAACCACAAUAAAGUCAUAAAAACAUGUGAUUGACAUAUGUAUGUUACAAACACCGAGUCCUCUGAGUUCAAGGCUGACACGCUCUGGGUGCAGAGUGGGUUGGAGGGGAGAGAAUUUGGAGGAGAAGAGACUACUGAGAAAGCCUUGUCAGUAGUUCUGUCAUGAAAUUUAGGUUCCUAGAUGUUGAAACAUUUACUCUUUUUUUUUUUUUCCAGAGAGAAGGAGCGUGCACGCACACAUCAGCAAGCAGGUGGAGGGGCAGAGGGAGAAGGAGAGACAAUCUCAGGCAGGCUCCAUGCUCAACACAGAGCCUGAUGUGGGGCUCAGUCUUACGACCCGGAGAUCAUGACCUGAGCUGAAAUGAAGAGUCAGAUGCUUAACCGACUGAGCCACCCAGGCACCCCUUACUCAUUUUUUAAAACAGAGCUAAUCUACAGAUUGAAAUCACUGGUUUCUAGUUCAGUGAAAGAAAAUGUAAUGGCAUUGCCACAAAUGAAAAGAUCAUACAGAAUCUUAAACCCAAAGAUCAUACUCAAUAAAGAAAUGAAAUCAGAAUGCUCUUCUGGAAAGAGGAAAUCAAAAUGGGAACAUGUCCAUCUCUUUGCAAUUCACCAGACAUCCGGGCCCUUCUUUCGGGGUCUGCAUAGACGACUGCAGAAACGGCAGGCAUGGAGGCAGAGGAGAGAGCGAGCGCGCAGCAAAUCCCAGGGAUGGCACAAUCGCGUCUGUAACUGCAGGAAGCCACGCUGACCCGUGUCCAGGCUACUGGACUUGGAAGGAGCAGCUGCUAGUGAUGCUGCGUCUGUUGCCCAGGCUGUUAUGAAGCUAGAUGAAGCCCCGCUAGUUGAGUGAGAAAAUACUUCACCUUAACUUUUCAGCAUCUGUCCUUGGAGACCUGAGGUGGUGUUCCCACUGCUUCCCUUCCAUCUCUCCCACCCCUGCAUAUUCUCCCAGGAGCCAUGCUGCCACAGGAGAGAUGAGACUAGGUCUUCUGCACCCCUGGGCCAGACUCCGCAGAGACAGCAUCAGCUGAGUAAGGAGGCGAGUACAGCUACUCUGAUCAUGGUCUCCCAAGGUCUUUACCAGCUUUACGGAAAUCGCAGUGUUUCAUUGGCAAGCGAUUCCUUAACACCCUCUGACAAAACCCAUGCCAAUGCCUCCCUCCAUUAAUACAGACAGGUUUUUUUUUUAAGUUUUAAUUAAUUUAUUUAAGUAAUCUCUAUCCCAAUGUGGGACCCAAAC
Molecule: long non-coding RNA, 1392 nt
Filed under: Ursus maritimus (polar bear)
Lineage: Eukaryota; Metazoa; Chordata; Mammalia; Carnivora; Ursidae
Description: lncRNA (ENSUMAG00000020790.1)
Source: RNAcentral